RNAcentral lists this long non-coding RNA (333 nucleotides) under Nicotiana benthamiana. RNAcentral describes it as "long non-coding RNA (NBEN_LNC033496)". The record is from RNAcentral. Lineage: Eukaryota; Viridiplantae; Streptophyta; Magnoliopsida; Solanales; Solanaceae.
AGGAAAUCAAUUUUAGCUUCCCUUACCUGGUCCGUACCUUCGUACGUAAUUUCCAGCUUGUCCCACAUUUUCUUUGCCGUUGUGCAACACGAUGUUUUCCUGUAAUCAUCAGCAUUUACAGCAUAAUAUAAUAAAUUAAUUGGUUUAGCAUUAUUUUGAACCUUUCGGAUAUCAUCCGGGUCAUAUUCUUCUUCGGAUUUGGGAACCCAUUCGUUUUCAACCUUUUCGGUUGGAAUUUGAUUUCCCUUCGUUAUCACCUUCCAGAGAUGAAAGUUGUUUGCUUGAACGAAGAUUUUCAUCCUCUCCUUCCAGUACGUGUAGUUUGNNNNNNNN